CCAGGUUAUAAAGUACCAGGAAAAACAUCAAAAGAGGCUCUUCACUCACUACGAGCAAAGGAAUGAAAAGCUAGAGGAGGCAGUAGUGAGGAUGAAGCAAGAAAUGCAGCAGAUGACAAAGAAGCUGAAUGAACAGAGUGCCUACAUUGCUAAGCUGGAAAAUGCACUAAAGCUUCAGAGUACCAAAGCUUCAUCUGGGCACCAUAUGAGCCAUAGUUCCCAAACCCCACAUGGACAUAAACCAGGUAAACUAUCUCUUAUUGUAU
This is a non-coding RNA of Neolamprologus brichardi, 266 nucleotides long. The record is from RefSeq and is a predicted model, not a curated record. NCBI's taxonomy places the organism in Eukaryota, Metazoa, Chordata, Actinopteri, Cichliformes, Cichlidae.